CAGAGUCCUGACUGGCUUCAUACAGUGUAGUUCCAGAGCAUUGACCUGGUGACUCUGUGACAACUGGUGAUAGAAGUGGGAUAAACUGCACCCCGUGGACAGAGCAUCCUGCAGUAAGUGACUGGGGAGCAGUAGAACGAAGGGGGAUUAGCAGGCGUGCUGAAGGCUCAGAGAGGUGCGGUUCCAGCAGGCGGAGGAGCCUACGGCUUAACCCCCGAGAGAGAGUGGACCCCCAAGAAGGGCUGUUGCACUGAAGGGGGUUUCUCCCAGGGACUGUGGGGAGCUGAGAGACCACAGGCCUAUGAGUCCGUGACCACUUGGGAACAGCAUGGAGAUGGCCGAUAACCAUCUCCUGAAGAAGGAAAUUGUGGAGCUGUGCAGAGAGAGAGGGCUGCACUUUGGAAGAUUCACCAAGGCACAGCUGCUUGCUUGGUUGGAAGAGAAUGAUCGCUUUAAGGAGCUGGUUCCUGUCCCAACUGGCUGCAAGAGAGGCUGGGAGUAGCCAGGCAUCCGCAGGGGUCACCCCAGCCACUGACUUAACCGGGGAUGCGAGAGGGGCUGAAAGCAGCCAGGCAACCCCAGGAUUCACCUACCUGACCAGCAGGGGAUCUUCCCAGCCGAGUUCCCCAUUGGUGGAGCUGAGACGGUUGGAGUUGGAAAUGGAACUAAAACUGAAAGAGCUAGAGGACUGUGAGAAGGAACGGGAGGACUGUGAGAGACAGAGGCAGCAUGAACUGGCAAUGGCGGAGCUGAGAAGGAGAGAGACCCCUACCGUGGUGAGUGGGGAUGGUCCCAGGGUGGCUAAGCCCGUAGGGAACUCCGAUAUAAAAGUGCUGCCUCCAUUUUUAAGGAAGGGGAUGAUAUAGACACCUUCCUCACUGUCUUUGAGAAGGCUUGCAAUGUGUACCAGGUUGACCCUGCAGACAGGCUUCAGCAUCUCACCCCCUUACUGGGUCCCAAAGCCAUAGAGAUGUUCAGCCAGAUGGAUGGUGUGGAAGCAGGGGACUAUGAGCUGUUCACGCAAGCCCUGCUGCGCAGGUUUGAGCUGACCCCCGAGCCGUACAGGAAAAGGUUCCAGGGUGUGCAGAAGACCCAAGGGAUGACCUAUCUGGAACUGGUCACACUGAUGGGGGAAUACACCCACAAGUGGGUGAAUGUUGCUGGGGCCCAGACCAAGGAGGACAUGAUUUAACAGAUGGGGCUGGAACGACUGUAUGAACUCUGUCCCCCUGACCUGAGGAUGUCGCUGGUGGACAAGAGGCCGAAGGACCUGCUCUGCACGGGGCUGCUGGCUGACGAGUUUGUAUUCAGCAGGUCGGGCUAUGGAAUGGAAUCCCAGGGGGACAGGCCCACAUCAGUGCAGAAGGGUCUUUGAUGCCAUCCAGCAGUACCGAAGGAGCCUUUGCAGAAGGUGGCUGUGGACAUAGUGGGACCCCUCAGCAAGGCAACUUGGACAGGGAAAAAUACAUUCUGGUGGUGGUAGAUUUUGCUACUCACUAUCCUGAGGCAGUGGUCUUGUCCUCUAUCGAGGCAGACACUGUGGCAGAUGCACUGCUGACCAUUUUCAGCAGAGUGAGGUUCCCCUAGGAAGUCCUUACAGACCCAGGGCUCCAAUUUCAUGUCAACUCUGCUCCGGUGCUUGUGGGAGAAGUGUGGGGUCCGACACACCUGGGCCUCAGCAUAUCACCCUCAGCCCAAUGGGCUGGUGGAGAGAUUCCAUGGGACCCUAAAGAUGAUGCUGAAAACCUUUGUAAACCAGCACCCACGGGACGGGGACAAGCAUUUACCCCACCUGCUGUUUGUGUACCGGGAAGUGCCCCAGGAAUCAACCAGGUUCUCUCCUUUUGAGUUGCUGUAUGGGAGGAGAGUGAGGAGACUGCUGGACUUGAUGAGUGACGAAUGGGAGGGGAAGGCCUCCCCCGAUGGAGGGGUGGAGUACGUACUGAUUUUCCGGGAAAAGCUUGCUGAGCUCAUGGACUUGGCUGGGGAGAAUCUAGCCAGGGCCCAAGGGAAGCAGAUCUGGUACGACCGCUCAGCACGUGCCCGCUCCUAUGCCACCGGGGACCAAGUGAUGGUUCUCAUUCCCGUGAGAAAGAACGAACUACACGCUGCCUCAGACUGGUCCUUUUAAGGUCAUCAAGCAGCUGAAUGAGGUGAAUUAUGUAGUUGAACUGUCUAACCGGGCUCACAGCCACCGGGUGUACCAUGUCAACAUGAUGAAGCUGUACUUUGACAGGGAGAAUUUGGUCCGGCGGUGUGUGGCCAGUGGGAGGAGCAGGGAGAUGAUCUCUUGGUGGAUCUAUUCCCUGAGACAGGGGCCGGAAUCGCUGGAAUCAAUUGCCCUCACUGACCAGCUAACCCCUGCCCAGCAGGCAGAGAUCCGAGGGGUGCUGGGUUCCUACCAGCAGCUGUUCUCCAAAUGGCCUGGGCUCACUAACCUGGCUGUCCACCAGGUGAAGACAGGAGCCCACCCUCCUGUAAGAUGCUCCCAUUCCUGUUCACUGGGAAAACAGCCCAGGACCUGGAGAGAGAGGUCAAGGACAUGCUGGCUUUAGGGGUGAUCCAGCCAUCCUCCAGCCCUUGGGCCUCGCCAAUGGUGUUGGUCCCCAAGAAGGACGGGUCACUCCAGUUUUGUGUGGAUUACAGGAGGCUUAAUGCCAUCACCAAGUUUGAUGCCUACCCCAUGCCUAAACCUGACAAGCUAGGCGGGGCUUGUUAUAUCACUACUAUGGAUCUCACCAAGGGCUACUGGCAAGUACCUUUGGAUCCAGAGGCCCGGCUGAAAUCUGCCUUUAUCAUCCCUCUGGGGUUAUACAAGUUCCUGGUCCUACCUUUCGGCCUAACAGGGGCACCUGCCACCUUUCAGCACCUGGUGAACCAGUUACUCAAAGGGAUGGAGAAUUUUGCCCUGGCGUAUAUUGAUGAUAUCUGUGUUUUUAGCCAGACCUGGGAGGACCAUGUGUCCUAGGUUAAACAAGUACUGGACCGGCUCCAGGAUGCAGGUCUGACUAUAAAAGCCAGCAAGUGCAAGGUAGGGAUGUCAGAGGUGUCAUAUCUGGGCCACAAAAGGGGGAGCGGCUGCCUAAAGCUAGAGCCAGCCAAGGUGGAGGUGAUCAGAGAUUGGCCUGUUCCCCAGACUAAGAAGCAGGUCCAGGCUUUCAUUGGGAUGGCGGGCUACUACCAGAGGUUCAUACCCCACUUUAGCUCCAUAGCCACCCCCAUCACUGAGCUAUGAAAGAAGGGUAAGCCAGAUAAGGUGGUCUGGACAGAGCAGUGCCAGAGGGCUCUCUGUGCUCUGAUGGAGGCUCUGGUCAAGGGCCUGGUGCUGGUAAACCCAGACUUUGACAAGCCCUUUAUGGUGUUCACCAACGCCUCAGACACAGGGCUGGGUGCGGUGUUAAUGCAGGUUGACGGAAAGGGGGAGAGACUACUACUACACUGCUACUACUACUACCAGGCUUACUUCUCUGAGGAGGGGAAAGUUAAAAAAAAAGAAAGCUUUUGGAAAGUCUGAUUAAAUCUGCACCAUUAUCUAUCCCAAUACUGGAAUUCAAAGUCCUAGCCAGAGUAAACCUUACUGUGGGCAACAACUCGAAGCCAACCUCUAAAAAAGAAAAGUCUUGUACAGAAGUCAUUUUAGAGUUGUUUCCCUGAUAAUGUUUACUCUAGCAGCAUUUAUUUCACUGGGACAAAAGGGAGAAAAAAGGCUAAAAGAAAGCAAAGUAAAAGGGAAUAAAAAUUUCUAUCCAGGUAACUGAUUUUCCAGUACAAGAACUCUCCACAACUCAAUAAAGGACUAUCAAGUUGCUAAACCCGGUAAAGGGGAUGAUAAGAAUGAAGACUGUGGAAGAUGGGGAAAUCUGGCACUCUAUGGUAACAGAAUCUGUCAUUCCCUUUGAGGCCAUAAAAAACACUCAGGGAAUGUGGACAUUUCAUGUACCAAAUAAGACAUAUAUUUCUGUGUGGGCACAUGGAUUAACAUCCAAGAUAUUAACAAAAGGGUGCCAAGAAGCUGCAGGAAAACAGGCUUUAGUAGUUAAGAGGGAAUAUAAUCCAACUAACAAAAGGGACCUCAAGUGUAACAAAUGGUGCAUAUGCAUUGGGGGACAACCUAUCCCAAGCAAUUAAUAUCAAAACUGGGGAAUUGUGGGACCCACAUACACCACAUAAAGAAACCCCUCAGACACACCAUCAUCAGGAAAAAGCACCCCAAGAAUAUAUAAUUCAAGGGGUUUGGUUUUAAAAUGAAACUAAAAUUCCAGUCAUAAAUAUAGGAUCCGCUGUAAAAUUGUAUAACAUCACUGAGAAUAUGAAAAUGUGUCAAUAAAAAUGUAAUUGGUGCACAUAGAACACAUGUUUACUGGGGACUGGUAAUAAAUCUGUAUUUAAAGUGUCCGAACAAAAGUACCCUAACAUAAAUAUGCUUUAAGAUGCCAUACCUCAUAUGGGGACAAUGUGUAAUAUAUGGAAGGAUAAAUAUAGGUUAAUGUAACCAAAUCAACACAAAAAUGUCACAAUGUUCCGAAACGUAUAAAAUGACUAAUUCUAGAUUGUAAUCAUAGUAGCUAUAUACACAACAAAUCUAAAUUUAAGAUUUCCGUAAUCUUAGUCCCCAAGGAGUGGAUAGUCAACAGUCUGUCACAGAGUCACCAGGCUAAUGCUCGAAAACUGCUCUCUAAAAAGCCUGGUAAGGCAUGCCUCCCCUCACACUGCUGCUGGGGCAAAAAAGCCUAAGUGGCCUUGGUCUUUCUGUGUCUGACUUCGGGGCAUUGAGCAUCCCCGCAGUGAGUCCGCCUGGGCGUGGCUCCUGGGGAAGCCAAAGGGCCCUGCACUUCAACUCCAUAGUCAGCUUUAACUCUCAGCCAAGAUUGUAAAAUGGAGGGUUUAUUAAUUAACAGGUACACAAUGUGGAACAGACUUGCUGGCAUGGGAAUUGGUAACUUUUAGCCGUGUCCAUCUUGGACUCCCUGCUUCUCUCCCAACCACAGACUGCCCAGUUUCUAGUGACCCGACCUCCAAUAUGCCCAUUGCUCCUACUGGUCUUUGGCUCACUUCCCGGGCAAAGUGGCACCGGUCACAUCCCCUCUCCUAGGUUUUAGGUUAUGAAGAGCACCUUCUAUAGCUUACGUACAGGCAACUGAAGUAGCCUUACCUGCCUUCAAGGGUCUUAGCAAGUCACAUGCCCUUGUUCCUACCACCUAAGCAUGGGUGUAACAUGCAGGAAAACUAAGGCACCACCCACAGUAUUUAUGCAAAACAGUCAAAACUCACAUGGACUCACUUACAACAAAAAGUGUACCAGGUAAUAUAUGUCCGCACCUGGAAAAUAAAACAGGGUACUAUGGAAUAGUACCAGAAGGAAAUGAACUAUGGUAAAUACCCAAAGUGAAAUGGAAACAAAUAAUAGGAGCCGAGUAAAAACAGGGCACCUUAAUCACAGGAGGAAAUUGAAAUUUGAAUUAAAAAGGGGGUAAAUACACCAUGAAUUUACAAUAAAAAAAAAGGGUUGGUGGGAAUUGCAUAAAAUAAACCAAGAUAUAUGUUGGUAUCAAAUGGAAAAAGGUAAUGAAGUAAUAAAUAACCUGACCUAAGGACCAAGGAAUGUAACAUACUUGUGAAGAUGUAACUCAUUUCCAAUACGAACAAUAUCAAGCGCACCCUCAAAUAACUAAAACCAUUGUGACUCACCCUCGAUUAACAUAGCCAAAUUUAAGGAAAAUAGAGUGGAAUAAUAGAGAUUGGGAUAUGAAAAUACAAACUAAUCAAGGCCAAAUAGAAUGGUCAACUAGACUAAUAAUAUCUGUAAGAGGUAUGCUUGCUCGAAAAUAUAAAACUGUUAAAAAAGCUGUAGAAAAAAUCUGAUCUCAAAUGUGUACUUGGUAUAGUGUUGUAUGUCAAGUAACAGUAUAAAAUAAAAUUAAAUGGGCAAUGUUAUUUUAAAUUUCUGAAACUGCAGCAUUAUUCCUUGUAUGUUUCUGUUUUGAAUAUCAAAUGUGUAAGCAAUAUAAAAAAAACCAAGCUUUGCAAAAAACUUAUAAAAUUGAGUUGUUGGAUUAUGCUACUAAAAAUCGUAAGAUAAGGCUUUAAGUUUUAUAGAAACCAGAAAAGGAGACACAUGAUCUAAUAGUUAAUGUACAAAUUGUGGGUAUGAUUGAUGUGAUAUUACAAUUAUCUUUGGUAAUUGAAUAUUGAAUGGGGGACUGUUGGGAUGGUGCCGAAUUGGUGUGGCUGUACUGAAUGAAUGGUGAGAACAUGGCUUGACGUGACUGAACUGCAAAAGAGGAUUCUGGGAGCAGAAUCCUUCUCUUAGCAUCAGGCAGGUGGCAGAGGUGAAACUGACUGGCUCCAUGCUGCGUGUAUGAUCAAUACUGAUCUUGGAGUCAGCAAAUAUGUCCACUUGAAGUCAGACAACCCGUGUAGAACAUCCUGAGUGGAGCAUGGGCUGACCAGGGCAUCUCGACCCUGUUGAAGGACAUCACACAGGGGGCUGAAGUGAAUGAUUGAUAAGGGAGUGAAUGUGGGAUAAUGUUCAGUUGGCACCACUCUGCAGUCUCCUCCUAAAGUAUGAAUUAGGUAAAAAUUAGUAGCCACAAGCCCACUGGGCAUGAUUUUAAGACAUGUGACUCCUUUGAGGAAAAAGAGUAUAAAAAUCAAGUAUAUUAAAUUACUGUUGGGGGAAUUCCUUAAUUAACGCUUAAAGAAGCAAUGCUGCUAGACAGAGUAGCCAAAACUCUGGAGUAGGACUGUGACCAGAGAGGUUUCCAGGCAGCCAAGGCCUGGACCAGAGGGCUGAGGAGACCAGACCUGGAGAGAAGAAAUCGUCCAUAGAAUUGGUAACCACCUUCUCUGUUUGCCAAGCAGAGCCUGUUGGUGUAUGUGAAAGAGCGGCUCGCUAAGAGGAAUGUAUAGCUCUUAAUGUAUAGUUCUUAAAUGUCUAACAUAGGAGUUGUGCUUAAUGUAACCCUUUACCGCUUGUAUAAUUCCUUCUCAUAUAAACUGCUGUGUUUGUAAGAUAA
Molecule: long non-coding RNA, 7016 nt
Organism: Malaclemys terrapin pileata
Lineage: Eukaryota; Metazoa; Chordata; Testudines; Emydidae
Exons: 2
Source: RefSeq, a predicted model, not a curated record